GAUGAACGCUGGCGGCGUGCCUAAUACAUGCAAGUCGAACGCAGUGGGGACGGUUGAGUAACACGUGGGUAACCUCCCAUCAGAGGGGAUAACACUUGGAAACAGGUGCUAAACCGAUACUGAUGGAUGGACGCGGGGUGCAUUAGCUAGUUGGGUGGGUAACGGCUCACCUAGGCCACGAUGCAUAGCCGAGCUGAGAGGGGGAUCAGCCACACUGGGACGGAGACACGGCCCAGACUCCUACGGGAGGCAGCAGUAGGGAAUAUUCGGCAAUGGACGAAAGUCUGACCGAGCAACGCCGCGUGGGUGAAGAAGGUAUUCGGAUCGUAAAACUCUGUUGUUAGAGAAGCGGUAUCUAACCAGAAAGCAACGGCUAACUACGUGCCAGCAGCCGCGGUAAUAC
Molecule: ribosomal RNA, 403 nt
Filed under: uncultured bacterium
Lineage: Bacteria
Description: partial 16S ribosomal RNA
Rfam family: Bacterial small subunit ribosomal RNA
Source: RNAcentral